Molecule: ribosomal RNA, 252 nt
Filed under: uncultured bacterium
Lineage: Bacteria
Description: partial 16S ribosomal RNA
Rfam family: Bacterial small subunit ribosomal RNA
Source: RNAcentral
UACGUAGGGUGCAAGCGUUGUCCGGAAUUAUUGGGCGUAAAGAGCUCGUAGGCGGUCUGUCGCGUCUGCUGUGAAACUCAGGGCUUAACCCUGAGCUUGCAGUGGGUACGGGCAGACUAGAGUGCGGUAGGAGAGACUGGAAUUCCUGGUGUAGCGGUGAAAUGCGCAGAUAUCAGGAGGAACACCGGUGGCGAAGGCGGGUCUCUGGGCCGAUAUUGACACUGACAGACGAAAGCUAGGGGAGCGAAUGGG